RNAcentral lists this long non-coding RNA (747 nucleotides) under Nicotiana benthamiana. RNAcentral describes it as "long non-coding RNA (NBEN_LNC008534)". Lineage: Eukaryota; Viridiplantae; Streptophyta; Magnoliopsida; Solanales; Solanaceae. The record is from RNAcentral.
UGUGUUUUUUUUAAUUGUUUCAUAUUCUUUUGUGUGUUAUGGAACACGAAUGGGGGUAUUCGAUGUUCCAUAAGUUUUCGGCUAUUGAUUAGCCAGUUGUACAGAACAAAUAUUGUACUUACAGAUUGGCAGCUCGCCAAGGUUUAUAGAGAAUAUUGAAAAGAGAAAGGAAAAAAAACAAAAAAAAAAAGGAAGAAAACAUAGAGAGCUAGGAGGAUCAAUAAGUUGAAUUGGCCUUCUAUCUCAGUUUCUUUUCAUUUAUUUUGUGUGUAGAUGUUAUAUAAUAAGCUUCUAGGCUGUUCAGAGCUUUUUUUCUCUUUGCCUGAUCUACAUGUAAUGUAAAACAUACUUUAUUUGAUUGGAGAAUGCAUGAUGGUUCGUGUGUGCAGACAUUUUUCUUCUCCUUCUCUACUUGUCUGAGAUAGUAAGAUUGCUCAUUACUGUGAUACUGUAACAGGUAAUGAACAUUUAUCUUUACACAAAAACUUGUUAUAACUUAUAAGCACAGAACAGGAAAGAGAUAUGAGUUCUUACUCAUAAAGAUAAAGGUUGUUGCUUUCUCUGGCUUUAGACAAGAGACUUCUUCCAUUCCUUCUGCUGCUGCUGUCUCUGUUUCAGAGAGAUCUGUAAAUGGGGGUGGAAUCUUGUGGGGAAUGAGGGGUCUGAGAAAUCUGUUGCUUAUUUAAAUUGGUCAGCAGUUGGUGGUGGUGGUGGCCAACUGUGAUCAUUACUAAAAGCAAAAGCCAG